UACGUAGGGGGCAAGCGUUGUCCGGAAUCAUUGGGCGUAAAGAGCGUGUAGGCGGUCCGGUAAGUCGGCUGUGAAAGUCCAGGGCUCAACCCUGGGAUGCCGGUCGAUACUGCCGGACUAGAGUUCGGAAGAGGCGAGUGGAUUUCCCGGUGUAGCGGUGAAAUGCGCAGAUAUCGGGAGGAACACCUAUGGCGAAGGCAGCUCGCUGGGACGUUACUGACGCUGAGACGCGAAAGCAUGGGGAGCAAACAGG
This 253-nucleotide ribosomal RNA is filed under the name uncultured bacterium. RNAcentral describes it as "partial 16S ribosomal RNA". It matches the Rfam family "Bacterial small subunit ribosomal RNA", at positions 524 to 776 of the family's 1533-position model. The record is from RNAcentral.